This 486-nucleotide ribosomal RNA is filed under the name Gemelliphila palaticanis. RNAcentral's name for it is "bacterial SSU rRNA". It matches the Rfam family "Bacterial small subunit ribosomal RNA", at positions 9 to 475 of the family's 1533-position model. Lineage: Bacteria; Bacillati; Bacillota; Bacilli; Caryophanales; Gemellaceae. The record is from RNAcentral.
GAGUUUGAUUAUGGCUCAGGACGAACGCUGGCGGCGUGCCUAAUACAUGCAAGUCGAGCGGAGUUGGAUAAGUGCUUGCACUAAUUCAACUUAGCGGCGAACGGGUGAGUAACACGUAAAGAACCUGCCUCAUAGACUGGGACAACUACUGGAAACGGUAGCUAAUACCGGAUAACAUAUUUUUCUGCAUGGAAGAAUAUUGAAAGUCGGUCAUGCUGACACUAUGAGAUGGCUUUGCGGUGCAUUAGCUAGUUGGUAGGGUAAAGGCCUACCAAGGCGACGAUGCAUAGCCGACCUGAGAGGGUGAUCGGCCACACUGGGACUGAGACACGGCCCAGACUCCUACGGGAGGCAGCAGUAGGGAAUCUUCCGCAAUGGACGAAAGUCUGACGGAGCAACGCCGCGUGAGUGAAGAAGGAUUUCGGUUCGUAAAACUCUGUUGUUAGGGAAGAAUGGUUGUAUAGUAACUAUAUACAGUAGAGACGG